This is a long non-coding RNA of Quercus robur (English oak), 1566 nucleotides long. RefSeq lists it as uncharacterized. The transcript is spliced from 4 exons. The record is from RefSeq and is a predicted model, not a curated record. NCBI's taxonomy places the organism in Eukaryota, Viridiplantae, Streptophyta, Magnoliopsida, Fagales, Fagaceae.
AAAAAAAAAAAUCUUUUUAACGUUUUAUUAUUAUAUUAGAAUUUAUCAAUUUAGAAACCCAAUACAAGUAUACAACUCCCUCUUCAACCUUCACAUCUAAAUCAAAGAGCUAAACAGCCUAAACCCCACAACCUCUCUAUUUUCUAAUAUACGCGGCACCCCAAAACUCAGAUCCUUCCGCUGCCACCGCCGCCAUGGAUCAUCGCCACUGCAUCGAUUUCUCUUUGCCUCUCCAUCGUCACUCAAUCCAGCCCAUUAUAUUCUAUGUCGGCAAAUUAUUUUGAGGCACAAAGGAGCUUGCACAACCUUGAGAGAAAAAAAACAACCCUUGGUUAUAUUGAUUUUGGUGUUGCUACAACAUGAUAAAAGCAGACCCCUUCUCCUUACUCCAAAACAAAGACCCACGACCCAUUCAGACUUCAAAGUCCCCCAUUCUGAUUCUCCUUCUCCAGCUCACUCGGCAUUCAAAUACAAAGAAUUUGCAAUUGAAGGCAAGCUUCUCUGAUAAGCAAAAUCCGAACCCAAGGGAUGAAGGAGAUCAAGAUUUCAAAGGCCAAUUUGAUGUAAGCCGUGGCUUUUGUGAUGGGUGGAAUUCAGGAAGCCUGCAAUGAUAUUUGUAGCAUUUGCCUUGAAGCCCUCCUUCUGUGAUAGCGAUCUUUCAAUGGUAUCAUAUACAUAUAACCAAUUUUGUAUCUUUAUAUUCCCAGUAUUUAAUAUAUUGUUUUAAUAGAGGUGACUAGUAACAAGCCUACCUUUCAUCUAUAAGGUAUUAAUCUUGAAUAGUAGUGCAUAUGAGUUCCAAUUUUAAGGGCAUCAAGUUAUUUUCCUUUUGCAAUAUUAUGAUUGUUAGUAGUAACCAAUGGGUUGUGUGGUUAAGGGCUGAGAUAGGGGUGUCAAAUGUAUAACCAUACACAAUAAUAAUUGGGCUUCAACAUUGUAUCCUUUGCAAAGAGAGCAUAGUAGUUACUAUGAAAUUGUAGUUAUUGCUCCUAAAUCGCUAUAUUUGACUUGAGUUCUAGAACUUGUAUUUUAUUUAGAUUAUUGUACAAUGUUACUUAUGGUUUGUGGUUUAUCAAAUUGUUUCUCAUUUUGUAUGCGUAUAAAUCUGUCAACUGUUGUUUACUAUAUGCAUGGUGUGUUUGAUAAAAUGCCUCAAAAAGAUUGUAUUAUGUGACACAAAUGAGGCAAAUUUUGGUUUUCUUUGAUGAUUUUUUGAAAUAAUUAUUGUUCUUUUUUUGACUGAUUUGAGUUGCAUUAUAAUAAUAACUUUGGGCUAGCAUAUUUUAGUUGCUAUGACAACAUGGUCUUUAGAAAUCAGCUAUCUUUAACUUUUUCAUUGUCCCCUUCCCAUUGCUUGCAAUUCAUUUGAACUAACAUGCUAUGGUUUUUGAAAGUUUUUGAGCAACAUGCUUAGUCCUAAGAUUGGCCUUAAGUUGAGGUUUUGUAUUAGUUGCCUUGAGCUUCCCUUAAGUCUCAGGGGACUACUUUUCUACUUCUAUACUUUUUUGCUUAAUGCAUAAUGGGUUCUCUCCAUGAUUGCCUCUUUUGAAUGUUUGAGUUUCAUAA